CAUGGACCCGGUGCAAUCCCGGGUGGCUAUUCCGGCCGCCUAUCCGCCGGACAACA
This is a regulatory RNA element of Erythrobacter sp. SG61-1L, 56 nucleotides long. It matches the Rfam family "sul1 RNA". The record is from Rfam. NCBI's taxonomy places the organism in Bacteria, Pseudomonadati, Pseudomonadota, Alphaproteobacteria, Sphingomonadales, Erythrobacteraceae.